AUGAACGCUGGCGGCGUGCCUAAUCCAUGCAAGUUGAGCGAACAGACGAGGAGCUUGCUCCUCUGACGUUAGCGGCGGACGGGUGAGUAACACGUGGAUAACCUACCUAUAAGAUUGGGAUAACUUCGGGAAACCGGAGCUAAUACCGGAUAAUAUAUUGAACCGCAUGGUUCAAUAGUGAAAGACGGUUUUGCUGUCACUUAUAGAUGGAUCCGCGCCGCAUUAGCUAGUUGGUAAGGUAACGGCUUACCAAGGCAACGAUGCGUAGCCGACCUGAGAGGGUGAUCGGCCACACUGGAACUGAGACACGGUCCAGACUCCUACGGGAGGCAGCAGUAGGGAAUCUUCCGCAAUGGGCGAAAGCCUGACGGAGCAACGCCGCGUGAGUGAUGAAGGUCUUCGGAUCGUAAAACUCUGUUAUUAGGGAAGAACAAAUGUGUAAGUAACUAUGCACGUCUUGACGGUACCUAAUCAGAAAGCCACGGCUAACUACGUG
This 496-nucleotide ribosomal RNA is filed under the name uncultured bacterium. RNAcentral's name for it is "partial 16S ribosomal RNA". It matches the Rfam family "Bacterial small subunit ribosomal RNA", at positions 29 to 507 of the family's 1533-position model. The record is from RNAcentral.